This 1183-nucleotide long non-coding RNA is filed under the name Brassica napus (rape). Its description in RNAcentral is "long non-coding RNA (BNAP_LNC024956)". Lineage: Eukaryota; Viridiplantae; Streptophyta; Magnoliopsida; Brassicales; Brassicaceae. The record is from RNAcentral.
UGGAUUGUUCGUUUCUAUGUCGUGCGGUUGAUCGCAACGGUUGAUCGCAAUUGUCGCUACGUCGUUCGUUUCAGUGUCGCUUGCGACCAGAUCUUUACAUUUAAAUUAUUUAUUUAGUUUUUGACAAAAAUAUGAUUACAGUUAUUUCUGUUUUUUUCAUUUCGUUUUUAUUUAUUCAGUUUUUAUUUUUAAUUUAUACAUAUCUCGUAAAUAAACCCAUAUUAAUAAACUAAAUAUAAACUCAAAUUUAAAAACUAAAAAUCAAAUGCUAAUGAGGUACUUUUCUCUUGCCACACCUAAUGACCAUGUCAACAGAUCCCAGUAAGAAACUUACAAUAUACAAAGGUGAUUCUUGUUGUGAUUUAUACACUUAAUGACCACUGCAUAAGACACUUACAAUAUCAUUAUUAGCCAUUCUUCUUGUCUAGUUGUUGUCUUGUCGUGAUUUAUGUCCGAAACCUGAAAAGAUAAUACAAACGAAAGUGAAUCAAAGGUGAAGAGCUAAUAAUGUACAAACACAUUCUAAGCCAAUAAUAGAUAGUGUCAUUAAGAAAGCAAAACUGAAACAUAACUCUAAUGAAAUUGAAACUGAAACAUAUGUGAAUGAACAAAUCCACAUGCCAACCACGUUCUUUAGAAUCAGACAGUAAUACCAUUUAUCUACUUGUUUCAACCAAAGCAAUAUUAAGACAUGAUCAAAGACUUUUAAGAAUUUAAAUCGAAAACCCAUCUCUGCAAAACAUAUUAUAAUCCCAAAAACCCAAAACAUAUUACAAUCUCAAAAACUUAGAUGAUCAAAACAUAUUAUAAUCCCAAAACCCAAAACAAUGCAAUUUUCUUACAGGUACAACAAUAAGACAACGUUUUGAAACAUGCCUAUCUCACUGAUUUUAGUACUAGCUAUAAAUUCUCCUAAAUCUCUCAAGUGAAAGGUCGAGAUCGAUUGUACCUGAGUUCGAAUCAGAAUCAGAGAGAGAACUGCUUGAAAGUUGAAAAAAAAAGAUUUACUUCCAAUCAGAGUCAGAAAGAGAGAGAAAGAGAACUGACAUUUGAGCUUUGAUGGUAGCCUCCGUGAGAGAACUGAGGAGGAGCGAUGAUGAAGAAAGACGUAAACAGAUUUAGAGUUAAAUUAUGUGUCUUUCUUCCCGAGUCGUUAUUAUGUUAUGAAUUGUGAUUAUUACCC